This 2904-nucleotide ribosomal RNA is filed under the name Salmonella enterica subsp. arizonae. RNAcentral describes it as "23S ribosomal RNA". It matches the Rfam family "Bacterial large subunit ribosomal RNA". The record is from RNAcentral. Lineage: Bacteria; Pseudomonadati; Pseudomonadota; Gammaproteobacteria; Enterobacterales; Enterobacteriaceae.
UUAAGCGACCAAGCGUACACGGUGGAUGCCCUGGCAGUCAGAGGCGAUGAAGGACGUGCUAAUCUGCGAAAAGCGCCGGUAAGGUGAUAUGAACCGUUAUAACCGGCGAUGUCCGAAUGGGGAAACCCAGUGUGACUCGUCACACUAUCAUUAACUGAAUCCAUAGGUUAAUGAGGCGAACCGGGGGAACUGAAACAUCUAAGUACCCCGAGGAAAAGAAAUCAACCGAGAUUCCCCCAGUAGCGGCGAGCGAACGGGGAGGAGCCCAGAGCCUGAAUCAGCAUGUGUGUUAGUGGAAGCGUCUGGAAAGGCGCGCGAUACAGGGUGACAGCCCCGUACACAAAAGCGCAUGUGCUGUGAGCUCGAUGAGUAGGGCGGGACACGUGGUAUCCUGUCUGAAUAUGGGGGGACCAUCCUCCAAGGCUAAAUACUCCUGACUGACCGAUAGUGAACCAGUACCGUGAGGGAAAGGCGAAAAGAACCCCGGCGAGGGGAGUGAAAAAGAACCUGAAACCGUGUACGUACAAGCAGUGGGAGCCUCUCUUUAUGGGGGGUGACUGCGUACCUUUUGUAUAAUGGGUCAGCGACUUAUAUUCUGUAGCAAGGUUAACCGUAUAGGGGAGCCGGAGGGAAACCGAGUCUUAACCGGGCGUUAAGUUGCAGGGUAUAGACCCGAAACCCGGUGAUCUAGCCAUGGGCAGGUUGAAGGUUGGGUAACACUAACUGGAGGACCGAACCGACUAAUGUUGAAAAAUUAGCGGAUGACCUGUGGCUGGGGGUGAAAGGCCAAUCAAACCGGGAGAUAGCUGGUUCUCCCCGAAAGCUAUUUAGGUAGCGCCUCGUGAAUUCAUCUCCGGGGGUAGAGCACUGUUUCGGCCAGGGGGCCAUCCCGGCUUACCAACCCGAUGCAAACUGCGAAUACCGGAGAAUGUUAUCACGGGAGACACACGGCGGGUGCUAACGUCCGUCGUGAAGAGGGAAACAACCCAGACCGCCAGCUAAGGUCCCAAAGUCAUGGUUAAGUGGGAAACGAUGUGGGAAGGCCCAGACAGCCAGGAUGUUGGCUUAGAAGCAGCCAUCAUUUAAAGAAAGCGUAAUAGCUCACUGGUCGAGUCGGCCUGCGCGGAAGAUGUAACGGGGCUAAACCAUGCACCGAAGCUGCGGCAGCGACACUGUGUGUUGUUGGGUAGGGGAGCGUUCUGUAAGCCUGCGAAGGUGGCCUGUGAGGGUUGCUGGAGGUAUCAGAAGUGCGAAUGCUGACAUAAGUAACGAUAAUGCGGGUGAAAAACCCGCACGCCGGAAGACCAAGGGUUCCUGUCCAACGUUAAUCGGGGCAGGGUGAGUCGACCCCUAAGGCGAGGCCGAAAGGCGUAGUCGAUGGGAAACGGGUUAAUAUUCCCGUACCUGGUGUUACUGCGAAGGGGGGACGGAGAAGGCUAUGUUGGUCGGGCGACGGUUGUCCCGGUUUAAGCGUGUAGGCUGGUUUUCCAGGCAAAUCCGGAAAAUCAAGGCUGAGGCGUGAUGACGAGGCACUACGGUGCUGAAGCAACAAAUGCCCUGCUUCCAGGAAAAGCCUCUAAGCCUCAGGUAACAUCAGAUCGUACCCGAAACCGACACAGGUGGUCAGGUAGAGAAUACCAAGGCGCUUGAGAGAACCCGGGUGAAGGAACUAGGCAAAAUGGUGCCGUAACUUCGGGAGAAGGCACGCUGACACGUAGGUGAAGCGGUUUACCCGUGGAGCUGAAGUCAGUCGAAGAUACCAGCUGGCUGCAACUGUUUAUUAAAAACACAGCACUGUGCAAACACGAAAGUGGACGUAUACGGUGUGACGCCUGCCCGGUGCCGGAAGGUUAAUUGAUGGGGUCAGCGCAAGCGAAGCUCCUGAUCGAAGCCCCGGUAAACGGCGGCCGUAACUAUAACGGUCCUAAGGUAGCGAAAUUCCUUGUCGGGUAAGUUCCGACCUGCACGAAUGGCGUAAUGAUGGCCAGGCUGUCUCCACCCGGGACUCAGUGAAAUUGAACUCGCUGUGAAGAUGCAGUGUACCCGCGGCAAGACGGAAAGACCCCGUGAACCUUUACUAUAGCUUGACACUGAACACUGGUCCUUGAUGUGCAGGAUAGGUGGGAGGCUUUGAAGUGUGGACGCCAGUCUGCAUGGAGCCGUCCUUGAAAUACCACCCUUUAAUGGCUGGUGUUCUAACGUAGACCCGUGAACCGGGUUGCGGACAGUGUCUGGUGGGUAGUUUGACUGGGGCGGUCUCCUCCUAAAGCGUAACGGAGGAGCACGAAGGUUGGCUAAUCCUGGUCGGACAUCAGGAGGUUAGUGCAAUGGCAUAAGCCAGCUUGACUGCGAGCGUGACGGCGCGAGCAGGUGCGAAAGCAGGUCAUAGUGAUCCGGUGGUUCUGAAUGGAAGGGCCAUCGCUCAACGGAUAAAAGGUACUCCGGGGAUAACAGGCUGAUACCGCCCAAGAGUUCAUAUCGACGGCGGUGUUUGGCACCUCGAUGUCGGCUCAUCACAUCCUGGGGCUGAAGUAGGUCCCAAGGGUAUGGCUGUUCGCCAUUUAAAGUGGUACGCGAGCUGGGUUUAGAACGUCGUGAGACAGUUCGGUCCCUAUCUGCCGUGGGCGCUGGAGAACUGAGGGGGGCUGCUCCUAGUACGAGAGGACCGGAGUGGACGCAUCACUGGUGUUCGGGUUGUCAUGCCAAUGGCACUGCCCGGUAGCUAAAUGCGGAAGAGAUAAGUGCUGAAAGCAUCUAAGCACGAAACUUGCCCCGAGAUGAGUUCUCCCUGAGACUACAAGUCUCCUGAAGGAACGUUGAAGACGACGACGUUGAUAGGCCGGGUGUGUAAGCGCAGCGAUGCGUUGAGCUAACCGGUACUAAUGAACCGUGAGGCUUAACCUU